UAUCCUGGCUCAGGAUGAACGCUGGCGGCGUGCUUAACACAUGCAAGUCGAACGAAGCACCUGAGAACGAUUCUUCGGAUGAAGUCUCUUGUGACUGAGUGGCGGACGGGUGAGUAACGCGUGGGUAACCUGCCUCACACAGGGGGAUAACAGUUGGAAACGACCGCUAAUACCGCAUAAGCUGCCGGUGCCGCAUGGCACUGACGGAAAAGAUUUUAUCGGUGUGAGAUGGACCCGCGUCUGAUUAGCCAGUUGGCAGGGUAACGGCCUACCAAAGCGACGAUCAGUAGCCGGCCUGAGAGGGCGAACGGCCACAUUGGGACUGAGACACGGCCCAGACUCCUGCGGGAGGCAGCAGUGGGGAAUAUUGCACAAUGGGGGAAACCCUGAUGCAGCGACGCCGCGUGAGUGAAGAAGUAUUUCGGUAUGUAAAGCUCUAUCAGCAGGGAAGAAAAUGACGGUACCUGAUUAAGAAGCCCCGGCUAACUACGUG
This 493-nucleotide ribosomal RNA is filed under the name uncultured Roseburia sp. Its description in RNAcentral is "bacterial SSU rRNA". It matches the Rfam family "Bacterial small subunit ribosomal RNA", at positions 15 to 507 of the family's 1533-position model. Lineage: Bacteria; Bacillati; Bacillota; Clostridia; Lachnospirales; Lachnospiraceae. The record is from RNAcentral.